GACGGAGGAUGCAAGUGUUAUCCGGAAUCACUGGGCGUAAAGCGUCUGUAGGUGGUUCGAAAAGUCCACUGUUAAAAAUUGAGGCUUAACCUCAAAGAUGCCGUGGAAACUUUCAAACUAGAGUAUGGUAGGGGUAGAGGGAAUUUCCAGUGGAGCGGUGAAAUGCGUAGAUAUUGGAAAGACCACCGAUGGCGAAGGCACUCUACUGGGCCAUUACUGACACUGAGAGACGAAAGCUAGGGGAGCAAAUGGG
This 253-nucleotide ribosomal RNA is filed under the name uncultured bacterium. RNAcentral's name for it is "partial 16S ribosomal RNA". It matches the Rfam family "Bacterial small subunit ribosomal RNA", at positions 524 to 776 of the family's 1533-position model. RNAcentral also lists the same sequence under 1 other name. The record is from RNAcentral.